GGGGAGGUGCCAGAGUGGCUGAUUGGGGCCGCCUGCUAAGCGGUUGUCGGGGUAACUCUCGACCGUGGGUUCGAAUCCCACCUUCCCCG
This 89-nucleotide transfer RNA is filed under the name Anaerolineales bacterium. RNAcentral describes it as "tRNA-Ser". It matches the Rfam family "tRNA". From Rfam's summary of the family: Transfer RNA (tRNA) molecules are approximately 80 nucleotides in length. Their secondary structure includes four short double-helical elements and three loops (D, anti-codon, and T loops). Further hydrogen bonds mediate the characteristic L-shaped molecular structure. tRNAs have two regions of fundamental functional importance: the anti-codon, which is responsible for specific mRNA codon recognition, and the 3' end, to which the tRNAs corresponding amino acid is attached (by aminoacyl-tRNA synthetases). tRNAs cope with the degeneracy of the genetic code in two manners: having more than one tRNA (with a specific anti-codon) for a particular amino acid; and 'wobble' base-pairing, i.e. permitting non-standard base-pairing at the 3rd anti-codon position. Lineage: Bacteria; Bacillati; Chloroflexota; Anaerolineae; Anaerolineales. The record is from RNAcentral.